AUUGAACGCUGGCGGAAUGCUUUACACAUGCAAGUCGAACGGCAGCACGGGGCAACCUGGUGGCGAGUGGCGAACGGUGAGUAAUACAUCGGAACGUGCCCAAUCGUGGGGGAUAACGUAGCGAAAGUUACGCUAAUACCGCAUACGAUCUACGGAUGAAAGCGGGGGAUCGCAAGACCUCGCGCGAAUGGAGCGGCCGAUGUCAGAUUAGGUAGUUGGUGGGUAAAGGCUCACCAAGCCAACGAUCUGUAGCUGGUCUGAGAGGACGACCAGCCACACUGGAACUGAGACACGGUCCAGACUCCUACGGAGGCAGCAGUGGGAAUUUGGACAAUGGGCGCAAGCCUGAUCCAGCCAUUCCGCGUGCAGGAUGAAGGCC
Molecule: ribosomal RNA, 379 nt
Filed under: uncultured bacterium
Lineage: Bacteria
Description: bacterial SSU rRNA
Rfam family: Bacterial small subunit ribosomal RNA
Source: RNAcentral